GCACGAGCAACUGUGACCAGCUGCCCUCCCAUCCUGCUCCAUGGACACCAAAAAAUGCAGAACCUGAAACUUAGCAAAUGGAUGUAUUCCAGGGAUUUGGAUGAAGAAACUGAAUCCUUCUUCACUCUCUGAGAUACUUGAACAAAAUAAUACUGUAGGAAGGUUUUGCAGCGUAGCUGGGUGAAAUGAAGUUUGAGGAAAGUAUUAAUGAACAUUUUAAAAAUGAGAAGAAUCCUGAGAAGAGCAGCCACGGACACAUAAACAGCUCAAUAAUAACAACAUAGAAAUAUUCUCAAGCAAUAAUUGUGGAAAACACAUAUGAAAACAACAUAACAAAAUUUCAAGAGAUUAGUAUAAAAAAUACAGGAAAGAGACAGAAGUGGCUGCCAAAGGCCUUUGAAUACAGUCCUGUUAACCUCUUCCCCUUCCUGGAUUUUGUGACCUGCUUUGUAAAGUAGUUACAGAUUUGCGUACCAUGUCUGACAGCUCAAAAAAUCACACCACUCUUUCAUAACAAAUAUAAGUAGAGAUUAUUUGGUAUAAUAUGUCAUAGAUCAAAGAGCAUUGGGGUCCAGGUACUCACUCUGACUCCACCUUGACUGCAUACUAGGGGGAAAGCCAGAUGUUUGUGCUCCUUUUCCUUCCGUGAGGCUCUUUUCCACCCGAGGAAGACCUAGGCACGUGAGAAGAGAGGGGCUGGUGAUGUACUUGAACAGGUCCCCCAGUGUGGGAUAUCAGUGACUAUUAAUACAGGAUUUACCUUCGAGUGCACCUGAACCACAGUUUUGAUAUCAAGAUCAAGAAAAAAUUGAAGCUCUACCCUAAAGGACUUAGAAUAUCUGUGCAAAUGUAAGUACAUGCUUAUAUUUAAGGAAUGAAAUGAACAACUCUCUUGAUUUAUUCAUCCAGAACUGAAUCAGUACAUUGACUUUUAGAUUAAUAGGCUAACUUUUAAAUGACGAGAGUUUCACUGUAAGUAAUGUGUUGUUCAAAACUUCUUCUAUUUUAUAUUAAGGGGAAAAAAAGGCUGUGGCGAGGUGAGCGGCUCUGAAGGCAGAGAUGUUCCAGGGGUAACGGGUUGUAGUGCAAAAGGUGCUGAGUGGUUGGAGGGAAAACUCAACAAAUUUAAGAGACACUUUUGUAUCCUGCAAAUAAUCUAAUGUGGACUGUGUAUGAAUUGGAUUUAUUUGGAUACCAGUACCUUAGUCAGACAUCAUAGUUUUUCUCUAGCCAGCUGAAUACAGCUAAGAAAUUUGUAACUGUAAUGCAGAUAAGUUUCUGGUGCUGAGUCCCACAUCCUAUAUACGUCCUUCAUUCUUCCA
RNAcentral lists this long non-coding RNA (1322 nucleotides) under Buteo japonicus. Its description in RNAcentral is "lncRNA (ENSBJAG00000016155.1)". Lineage: Eukaryota; Metazoa; Chordata; Aves; Accipitriformes; Accipitridae. The record is from RNAcentral.